RNAcentral lists this long non-coding RNA (1421 nucleotides) under Cricetulus griseus (Chinese hamster). RNAcentral's name for it is "lncRNA (ENSCGRG00015037380.1)". The record is from RNAcentral. Lineage: Eukaryota; Metazoa; Chordata; Mammalia; Rodentia; Cricetidae.
AGCACAUUCAUCAGUGUUUCUCCAAGAGUGAGUCUUGCAUUUGACAAGAGGUAUCUGAGGUGCAUGAAGAAGUGCCACAGCCUGUUCAGGAUUCCUACAAGAGCUUUUUGAGAGGAUUAUUCCUGCCACACAAAGUGCUGGUGCAAUGGUGAGCUCCUGUGAACAGUUCACCUAAGAACUAGUAUCCUUGGCACAUCUUGGACAAAGACAAAAACUGCCACUGGAACAACAGACCCUGGAAGAGCAGUCCCUCCAGAUGGACCUGUGAUCUUGCCUGUGUCAUUGCUGACGAAAUGUGCAUGGCCCAGCAACUCCUCCCAAGCUUCAUAAUCAGAGACCUCACUGCUGUAUGACCAUGCUUAGUUACCUGCUGGUUUCUCUGUGUAACAGCUCUGGCUGUUCUGGAGCUCACUUGAAAGACCCCCGAAGAGGUACUUUCGUAGAGGGAGACCCGCACCCAGGAAUCAGCGAGACCACGAACUUGGAUGCAAACUGCAAGAGGCUUUAUUGGAGAUACGGGUACCCGGGCGACUUAGCUUCUGAAAUUCUUCUUGUUGACGCACUCAUCUGUUACAUGUAUCACAUUCAAAAAGGGACUAAGAACUUACAAGCCACCCCUUGCAGUUUCUAGCUAAUCCUUCCUGCAAGCCAUGGAGUUCUGACAUGCUAACAUAGUACCUGCACUGUGGAUAUGCCAGCUCACUGAUGCGUUGAGGACAUAAGCAUAAUGAAAGAAUGGUACCAUUAGGUCCCAGAGGCCAAUGACACUUAACCUCUCUGUGGGAUGCUGUUCAGGAUUGAACCCUUCCAGUGUGACCUGGCGCGGGGCUGAGGGCCCUCCGGCUGAGCAGUGAUGUCGCACAAACAGAUUUACUAUUCGGACAAAUACAACGACGAGGAGUUUGAGUACCGGCAUGUCAUGUUGCCCAAGGACAUAGCCAAGCUGGUCUGAAUCUGAAUGGAGAAAUCUCGGCGUUCAGCAGAGUGGGUCCAUUAUUUGAUCCAUGAACCAGAACGCAUAUCUUACUCUUCCGGCGGCCACUACCCAAGAAGCCAAAGAAAUGAAGCUGUUGACCCGCCUUUCAGCCUCAAGCUUUACACAACUGUCCUUCCUUCCUGCACCUUCUGAUAGCAUGAUUAUGUUGCUUUCUUAUUUCUCACUUUGAUAUUUAAAGGAUGUUUGUUCAAAACACUGUUUGAAUGUGUUGGUACCUGCUUUGCUUCUUGAGCUGAGCCACCAAUGCCACAACCUGUCAGAUGAGUGUGACCUCAAAGACCUAGUGUGCUCUUUAUCCAGCAGGCAUAUCCAUACUUGCCAUACAUUAAAGAAAAAUAGGCUUAAAAGAAUACUAAACUAGCCGAGCAGUGGUGGCAGCACACGCCUUUAAUCCCAGCACUUGGCUGGCAUGUGAAAAUCAGAU